This 404-nucleotide long non-coding RNA is filed under the name Daucus carota (carrot). RNAcentral's name for it is "long non-coding RNA (DCAR_LNC001564)". The record is from RNAcentral. Lineage: Eukaryota; Viridiplantae; Streptophyta; Magnoliopsida; Apiales; Apiaceae.
GUGUGUGUGUGUGUGUCCGUGUUUGACAUGUCUUCUGUUUUUUUGUUUCCACUAAAAAAUUAUAGAAAUACUUAAACAGGUUUUCAGUGUUGGUUCAAAUACUAAUUCCUCAACUAUGUUAUAAUGGGAAAGAACGAAACGUAAUAGAAAUACCUCACAUAACACUAACAAAUUAUCUUACUCUGACUGAAAACCAAAAAUGUGUGUGUGUGUGUGUCCGUGUUUGACAUGUCUUCUGUUUUUUUGUUUCCACUAAAAAAUUAUAGAAAUACUUAAACAGGUUUUCAGUGUUGGUUCAAAUACUAAUUCUUCAACUAUGUUAUAAUGGGAAAGAACGAAACGUAAUAGAAAUACCUCACAUAACACUAACAAAUUAUCUUACUCUGACUCUCUUCUGUUUAGAC